This is a long non-coding RNA of Felis catus (domestic cat), 1234 nucleotides long. RefSeq lists it as uncharacterized. The transcript has 2 exons. NCBI's taxonomy places the organism in Eukaryota, Metazoa, Chordata, Mammalia, Carnivora, Felidae. The record is from RefSeq and is a predicted model, not a curated record.
UAUCGAUGGCAUACUGUGAAGCAGAAUCAUUGUCCUUUGAACUCAGUGCAAUUUCUCACUGUGGUUUUCUCAAAAUGAAAAUAAAGCUGGUAUCUAAUGUGUUUUCACAUCACAAGUGCACAGUUAAUCUUGUAUAUGGAUAAGACACCUUUGCUAAAUGCUAGAAAAAACUGAUAGAACUAGCUUUUGGUGUUCUUGCGAUAUCUUUACUACCUUCCCUUUAUUUAAAAGACUUUGGAUCUAUAAUUUUACUCAAAUGUGGGAAUUGAGUGGGGAUUAAAACUCUAUUUUGGUGGUUUCAAUCAGGCCUCUAUGCACGAGCUAGAAUACUUUUUAAUAUUGGAGAUAUAAUAGUACCUUAAUGAGAGGACAUUAAUUAUGAUACUUGGAAAUCCAUGGUCGGUUUAUAGCUACAAUAAUCUAUGAGUCCUAUAAUUUUGAUGAUUCUAAUGGCUCUAUUGUUCAUUAGGGCCACAACAGACCUUUGCCUCUUGUAAAUAAAUCCCAUGUCUUUGGUUUCUGACAAUAGGAAUACUGCCAAUCCCAGUGUUUUGGGAGAGACCUGUGUUACUUUGGCAUCGCUUACCUGUAAUCUCUUUGGAUAAAAGUUAUCUAAUCUCUGGAUAAAAGGAAUGGUCUGGGAGAAUCAUAGUGAAUGGUUAAGCAGGUCACAAUCUGGACAGACAUUCUAACAUUCCAUAUUCCACAGUUCUUAUAUCCUUCUUACCUUAAAUACAAUGAAUUUCUGCCAUUGUACUCCUCAUGGGUUUCCAUCGGGACUAAUUUUUAGACAACAAGCUUAUUAAACAACUAGAAAUAAGUCCAACUGAUCAAAGUAACCAGAGGUUUUGUAAGGUACUUGGAGACGUAAUCAAUACGGAUCUAACACCCACUCAUAAUGCUUUGGAAUUGAACCGAAAGAUCAUUUUGAAGGAAAAUAAUACAUAAGGGGUACUGCUCUUACUGCUAAUGUCAAACCCCUUUUCAGGGAAAGAAAGGGAAAACUAAGAAAACAAAUUUGUCUCUGAAGAGAUGGAAAUGAUAGGUACAUUAGACCAUUAAAGCCUUCCUCUUGUCUCUGCCUUACUCAUUUACCAAGGCACUGCUCUUGUGCAUCUGUUGUCAUCCAUUAUUUAUGCAUCUUAUUCAUGCCGCUGCAAACAGUGCCAGUGGUAUGCAUUCUUUGUUACCGUGUUUUUUCAGUGUAAAUAAAUAAGCAGAAAUUCAGACCAUC